This is a long non-coding RNA of Carcharodon carcharias (great white shark), 1151 nucleotides long. RefSeq lists it as uncharacterized. Lineage: Eukaryota; Metazoa; Chordata; Chondrichthyes; Lamniformes; Lamnidae. The record is from RefSeq and is a predicted model, not a curated record. The transcript is spliced from 2 exons.
AUCAGUUCAAUAAAGAUUCUCACAGAGAACACACAUGAAACAUGAUGUCAGGAAGUGAAGAAAAAUAGAUUUUUUAAUCUUGGAAAUUAUGCAGAGAAGACACAGUUCAGAAAGACACACAAAUGUUCAAAUCCCAGAAAAACUGCUGCUAAAAAAUAGUUCAGGAAAAGCACAAAGCUGCAAAACAACGACAAAGGAAAGGCAAACACAAAAGGACAAGCAAAAGGCAAGCAAACGCAUAUACAAGUAAAUACUAGUUAGCGAGGGAGACAUUAUGUCAGUGCAAGGAAAUGUAUGGGCAGAAAGUCAAUGAAGCAGUUCUACAGGAAUAUGUACACAUCAGAGUUAAACUGGAAAAUCUGAAGGGCAAAAUUCCAGCUGGGUAUAUGCCAUUGAAAACGCACGAUAACCUCAAGCCUUCAAUGAAUCAAGCUGUGCGAGAUCUGAACAAACAAAUUUCAGAGACGACACAAAACGUAUCGGGAAGAAAUAAUGACUCUCAAUACCACAGUUGGCAAUUCAACGCAGUAGUUGAAAAAUCUCAACCAGCUCUAUAGGGCCAACCAUUGGCAUAUACGAUGAGCUAGCAAAGCUGCUCCUUCAUCACAAUCAGCUGGUCAAGGAGAAAGGAUCUCACCAGCUGUACUGAGUACAGAACUACCAUCAAUCCCAGAGGUCCAUGUGCCUCCAAUAACUCCAAUGGGACAAUAGUCACCAAGGCUAGAAUUGCCAUGGGAACGACACUCUCCAGAGAAGAAAAAUCACCCAGAUGUAUAGCCAAUGUCAACGUGCACAUGGACAAUCAAGAGACCAGAACAAUAUAAAGACUGUGUGUGCAAUACAUGUGCAGAGACUACUAGCAGAACAAAAUUGUUAAUGCAUUAUAACAGUGGGUAUAUGGUGGGUAACCUGGGUAACCCACAGUCACACAGGAUCAUACAUGCAAGUGUGUCUUUUGUUUGCUAGGAAAAGGGGUUAUUUGUAUGUUUUGUUCAAUAUGCAAAAGGGGAUGUUUAGUAAACAUUACAUUUCCAAAACCUAAGUGUACUACCUGGCUUGCCAUAGUCAUGUGACUCUGCCAUGAGGCAAACUGACUGUAGGCUGCCAUUUCUGAUCAGUUCAAUAAAGGCUCUCACAGAGAACACACUGAA